AUUGAACGCUGGCGGCAGGCCUAACACAUGCAAGUCGAACGGUAACAGGAAACAGCUUGCUGUUUCGCUGACGAGUGGCGGACGGGUGAGUAAUGUCUGGGAAACUGCCUGAUGGAGGGGGAUAACUACUGGAAACGGUAGCUAAUACCGCAUAACGUCGCAAGACCAAAGAGGGGGACCCUCGGGCCUCUUGCCAUCGGAUGUGCCCAGAUGGGAUUAGCUUGUUGGUGGGGUAACGGCUCACCAAGGCGACGAUCCCUAGCUGGUCUGAGAGGAUGACCAGCCACACUGGAACUGAGACACGGUCCAGACUCCUACGGGAGGCAGCAGUGGGGAAUAUUGCACAAUGGGCGCGAGCCUGAUGCAGCCAUGCCGCGUGUAUGAAGAAGGCCUUCGGGUUGUAAAGUACUUUCAGCGGGGAGGAAGGGAGUAAAGUUAAUACCUUUGCUCAUUGACGUUACCCGCAGAAGAAGCACCGGCUAACUCCGUG
Molecule: ribosomal RNA, 490 nt
Filed under: uncultured bacterium
Lineage: Bacteria
Description: partial 16S ribosomal RNA
Rfam family: Bacterial small subunit ribosomal RNA
Source: RNAcentral